UCGGCUUUUUGCCCUCUUGAAGAGUGGCUCUGUGUGUGCUCCUUUAGCCUGCAAAUCCCUCCCUUUCUCAUUUUUCUUCCUUACUGCAGCAUUUCUACAUCACUCGUGCCUGCCCAUCCCAGCCUACGAUUCCAGCACGGCUACUGCUGUCCUUGCUUCUUCCCAUCAUCAUGCUGGACAUAUUCAUUCUCAUGUUUUUUGCCAUUAUAGGGCUGGUCGUUUUAUCAUAUAUCAUCUACAUGCUGUAACAUGUCCGGCCACAACCCUACUGCUACCAACAGCCUGUGAAGGACAGCCAAGCCAGGAAGCAGGUUUUUUUCCCCCCCCUCCCUAUUUAAUGCAGUUGUUUUGCAGACAGGAGCAGCGUCUGUCCAUGGAUUAUUUCCAUGUUUACAUCUCAGCAGCAUGGUCUUCCAGAGCAUUCUGGAAAAAAGUUAACCCUUGCAAAACUCCCUGACAACGAGAAGAAUGAUUUAGCUAAAUGCUGAAGCUGUAUCCUAAGACUGAGUUGGAAGUGCAUGGGAAGAACAAGAGGCAAGGAAAAUGAAAAGAACAAAAGCAGAAAGUGAGAAUUCUAAUGGAAUGAUCCUAAGACAGUGGAGGGGAAGAAUCUGCUUUUUAAAGAAAAAAAGUUGUGUUUCUGCAUAUCUAGAUAUACAAUCUUCAUUGAUUUUAAGAAAAUGCAGGAUUCUGAAAGCAUCAGAUUGCAGAGAAAGGAGUUGGAAGAGCAAGAAGACUGUUGUGCCUCCUAAAUUACAUUUUAUGUUUGCCGUGCUAAAGUCUCAAGACAUAAAAGGCAACGAUGUAUAGAAAUUUCAGGUGUAGCUACAGAACAGUUUUCUGGAGGAAAUGCAAGGGAAGGAAAUGCUAUCUAGUAAUUACACAGUAUUUUCAAAAUGUCAUACUUAUCUCUCUGUGGAAGAUCGGGGCAUAUCUUAAAAUGCAGCCUCAUUCUAUAGAUCAGCAUGUUUUUUUUUUCCUUGCUUUUUUAAAAAACAAAACUUUCCAGAAAAUAAUUGGUUUAUAAUGAGUUAUUUUCUCUACUAAUAUCAUCAUGCUAAAUAUGUCACUGCAGAUGUAUCAAAAAGCAAAUUCUAGCAUAUUAAUAAUUUUCACUAUCAUGAUCAAACUAUAACAAUUAUAUAUGUAAUUUUAUAAUACUGUAAGUAAACCAAUUUUCUUUGUAACAAAAUAUUAAUUAUAUUUCCUAUAUGAAGCAAGGAAACUUGCCACAGGGAUAAAAUAAAAAUCUUUUAAAAAAUAAUAAUAAUAAAAAAAGAUGAACUGCU
Long non-coding RNA from Ahaetulla prasina, 1289 nucleotides. RefSeq lists it as uncharacterized. Lineage: Eukaryota; Metazoa; Chordata; Lepidosauria; Squamata; Colubridae. The record is from RefSeq and is a predicted model, not a curated record. The transcript has 2 exons.